Molecule: ribosomal RNA, 476 nt
Filed under: uncultured bacterium
Lineage: Bacteria
Description: partial 16S ribosomal RNA
Rfam family: Bacterial small subunit ribosomal RNA
Source: RNAcentral
GAUGAACGCUGGCGGCGUGCCUAACACAUGCAAGUCGAGCGGACGCACGGGGUGCUUGCACCUUUUCGGCGAGCGGCGGACGGGUGAGUAACACGUGGGUACCUGCCCCAAAGGGAUGAAUUACUGCCCGGAAGGCUAACUAAAAACGCGUAAUGAGUUUGAAUCACAGGGUUCAUCCGCUUUAGGAGGGUCUGGUGUCGUAUUAGUUGGUUGGCGAGGUAAUGGAUUAAAAAGCUGACGAUACGAAGCUGACCUGAGAGGAUGAUCGGCCACACUGGAACUGAGACACGGUCCAGAGUCCUAAGGGAGGCAGCAGUAGGGAAUCUUACGCAAUGGGGGAAAGCCUGAUCGAGCAAAGCGGGGGGAGUGAUGAAGGUCUUCGGAUGGUAAAACGCUGUAAGUCGGGAGGAAGAAAAGUGCAUGUAUAAGUGAACGUUUUGACGGUACCUAAUGAAUAAGCAACGGCUAACUACGUG